GUAAUGUCUGGGAAACUGCCUGAUGGAGGCUUGAAACUACUGGAAACGGUAGCUAAUACCGCAUAACGUCGCAAGACCAAAGAGGGGGACCUUCGGGCCUCUUGCCAUCAGAUGUGCCCAGAUGGGAUUAGCUAGUAGGUGGGGUAACGGCUCACCUAGGCGACGAUCCCUAGCUGGUCUGAGAGGAUGACCAGCCACACUGGAACUGAGACACGGUCCAGACUCCUACGGGAGGCAGCAGUGGGGAAUAUUGCACAAUGGGCGCAAGCCUGAUGCAGCCAUGCCGCGUGUAUGAAGAAGGCCUUCGGGUUGUAAAGUACUUUCAGCGGGGAGGAAGGUGAUGAGGUUAAUAACCUCGUCAAUUGACGUUACCCGCAGAAGAAGCACCGGCUAACUCCGUGCCAGCAGCCGCGGUAAUACGGAGGGUGCAAGCGUUAAUCGGAAUUACUGGGCGUAAAGCGCACGCAGGCGGUCUGUCAAGUCGGAUGUGAAAUCCCCGGGCUCAACCUGGGAACUGCAUUCGAAACUGGCAGGCUAGAGUCUUGUAGAGGGGGGUAGAAUUCCAGGUGUAGCGGUGAAAUGCGUAGAGAUCUGGAGGAAUACCGGUGGCGAAGGCGGCCCCCUGGACAAAGACUGACGCUCAGGUGCGAAAGCGUGGGGAGCAAACAGGAU
Molecule: ribosomal RNA, 672 nt
Filed under: uncultured bacterium
Lineage: Bacteria
Description: bacterial SSU rRNA
Rfam family: Bacterial small subunit ribosomal RNA
Source: RNAcentral